Non-coding RNA from Nelumbo nucifera (sacred lotus), 970 nucleotides. NCBI's taxonomy places the organism in Eukaryota, Viridiplantae, Streptophyta, Magnoliopsida, Proteales, Nelumbonaceae. The record is from RefSeq and is a predicted model, not a curated record.
CCGAGGAUGGGCACGGAUGCGGGCUUAGGGGUUUGGGAGAGGGUUACAUCUAUAUCCCAUUACCAAGAAAACUUCCCAACUCUCUUGCCUGCAGAAGUUUCGAACAGGUUUUCACCAUUGCCUCAUCUUCAACAUUUCUCGAUUGUUGGCCUUCACAGGCUUUCACCAUUGACUCAUCUUCAAUAUUCGCAUCGCUAGCGAAUCUUGAGGUCCAGUCUUUCUCUCUCUCGUUCCUCUCCCUCCUCGCCCCCAUCUCACCUCUAUCUCGAGCCAGACUCCAUACUUGCUCUCUCUCUCUCUCUCUCUCUAUUUAGGGUUUUCUACUUUACCUGUGUUCGGUUCUUCUCAUUCUUCUUCUCGGACGAUAAGGACAUGGCUUACUACUCGAGACCGUUUGGCUUUCACUCUCAUGACAAGUUUCUGUUGCCUCGAAUCCCUAACCAGCAAUCACAGUAGUUUUCGCCCUCUCUUCUCUGCCUUUCUCUCGCUUCGAGAGGAGUUAAGGAGGUGGUUAAGAGUAUUCAGCGCUGCAACAAAGGUGACAAUCAGGAUGGUUCUUAACCAACGUUGCAAACCAUCUUGUGGAGACCCAUGUUUAUCACUUCUUCUCAACUAGCUUGGCUUUUGGGUUAUAGCAAGGCAUGAGUGCCACACAAAGAGCUGUACAUUGAAGCCACCCUAUGAGCAUGACAAUCAGAAGAAACGAUAAGGAUAAGUGGAUGAACUAAAUGACUUAUUGCUUUGUCUUUUACCUAUUUUUUUUUUAUUUUUUAUUUUAUUGAGUUGAUUUUUCCCUCUUUUGCAGGAUUUGUGUUUACUAGGUGUGGCUGGAUUAUGGCUAUUUCUGGAUUGAGCCUACAAGGCUUCCAAUGGCUUCAUUUAUUUUUCUGGUUUUAGCUUAGUUAUGUAAUUGGUAAAUUUGCACGUGGCAAUUUUAGAUGAUAAAGAUAGUAAUAUACAUCUAAAUUAU